This 234-nucleotide ribosomal RNA is filed under the name uncultured bacterium. RNAcentral describes it as "partial 16S ribosomal RNA". It matches the Rfam family "Bacterial small subunit ribosomal RNA", at positions 90 to 339 of the family's 1533-position model. The record is from RNAcentral.
GACGAGUGGCGAACGGGUGAGUAACGCGUAGGAAUCUGCCUUAUAGUGGGGGAUAACACUGGGAAACUAGUGCUAAUACCGCAUAAUCCCUGAGGGGGAAAGCCGUGAGGCGCUAUUAGAUGAGCCUGCGUCAGAUUAGCUAGUUGGUGGGGUAAAGGCCUACCAAGGCUGAGAUCUGUAGCUGUUCUGAGAGGAAGAUCAGCCACACUGGGACUGAGACACGGCCCAGACUCC